This 323-nucleotide ribosomal RNA is filed under the name Phoma sp. Its description in RNAcentral is "partial large subunit ribosomal RNA". The record is from RNAcentral. Lineage: Eukaryota; Fungi; Ascomycota; Dothideomycetes; Pleosporales; Didymellaceae.
AGACCGAUAGCGAACAAGUAGAGUGAUCGAAAGAUGAAAAGCACUUUGGAAAGAGAGUUAAAAAGCACGUGAAAUUGUUGAAAGGGAAGCGCUUGCAGCCAGACUUGCCUGUAGUUGCUCAUCUAGGUUUCUACCUAGUGCACUCUUCCAUAGGCAGGCCAGCAUCAGUUUGGGCGGUUGGAUAAAGGUCUCYGUCAUGUACCUCUCUUCGGGGAGAACUUAUAGGGGAGACGACAUGCAACCAGCCUGGGACUGAGGUCCGCGCAUCUGCUAGGAUGCUGGCGUAAUGGCUGUGAGCGGCCCGUCUUGAGACACGGACCAAG